Molecule: long non-coding RNA, 360 nt
Organism: Mustela lutreola (European mink)
Lineage: Eukaryota; Metazoa; Chordata; Mammalia; Carnivora; Mustelidae
Exons: 3
Source: RefSeq, a predicted model, not a curated record
GGGUGAGGGAGAGGCUCCCCAUAGCCUUGGUAGUGACUGAUCUAGAUUCCCUAAUGAGGCAUUUGAAAUUAUGUCUGAUGAGCCCCCAAAGGACUACCUUGUGCUGGCGAUCCUGGCCUACUUGCUGUGUUGUCCCAUAGGCAGUGCAGCCAUGUACUACUCUUCCCAGACAAGGCGCCAUAACUAUAGGGAUGAGCCAGAAUUGGCAGCUGAGACCUCUGAGACAACCUUCGUACUCUCAGUCAUAGCAAUUUCUUUGGGAUGCAUCGGUAUACUCAACACCUGGAUUGUGAUCAUGAUAACUGUAUUUGCUCGGUAACCUCCUUUUCAGCUCAUGAACAAACCAUCAAAUAUAUAACA